RNAcentral lists this ribosomal RNA (502 nucleotides) under uncultured bacterium. Its description in RNAcentral is "bacterial SSU rRNA". It matches the Rfam family "Bacterial small subunit ribosomal RNA", at positions 8 to 500 of the family's 1533-position model. The record is from RNAcentral.
AGACUUUGAUCCUGGCUCAGAUUGAACGCUGGCGGCAGGCCUAACACAUGCAAGUCGAGCGGUAGCACAGAGAAGCUUGCUUCUUGGGUGACGAGCGGCGGACGGGUGAGUAACGCGUGGGAAUCUACCUGGUAGUGGGGGACAACAGUCGGAAACGACUGCUAAUACCGCAUACGCCCUUCGGGGGAAAGUGGGGGAUCUUCGGACCUCACGCUAUCAGAUGAGCCCGCGUCGGAUUAGCUUGUUGGUGAGGUAAAGGCUCACCAAGGCGAUGAUCCGUAGCUGGUCUGAGAGGAUGACCAGCCACACUGGGACUGAGACACGGCCCAGACUCCUACGGGGGGCAGCAGUGGGGAAUAUUGGACAAUGGGGGCAACCCUGAUCCAGCCAUGCCCCGUGUGUGAAAAAAGGCCUUCGGGUUGUAAAGCACUUUCAGCUGUGAGGAAAGGUGAGUGGUAAAACCCCCCUUGCUGUGACGUAACAGCAAAGAAGACCGGGUUAA